GGGGGGAGCGCCGGAUCUUGGGCUGUGUCCCCAGCACCCUGUGCUCCCAGGCCUGCGCUGUUGGAAUCGCGCUCCCAGGCCGUGCAGCCCCUU
RNAcentral lists this microRNA precursor (93 nucleotides) under Canis lupus familiaris (dog). RNAcentral describes it as "mir-8799 microRNA precursor family". It matches the Rfam family "mir-8799 microRNA precursor family". RNAcentral also lists the same sequence under 1 other name. The record is from Rfam by way of RNAcentral. Lineage: Eukaryota; Metazoa; Chordata; Mammalia; Carnivora; Canidae.